GCUGCCGUAGCUCAGUGGUAGAGCACUCCCUUGGUAAGGGAGAGGUCGGUGGUUCAAUCCCACUCGGCAGCA
This 72-nucleotide transfer RNA is filed under the name Affinirhizobium straminoryzae. RNAcentral describes it as "Rhizobium straminoryzae tRNA". It matches the Rfam family "tRNA". From Rfam's summary of the family: Transfer RNA (tRNA) molecules are approximately 80 nucleotides in length. Their secondary structure includes four short double-helical elements and three loops (D, anti-codon, and T loops). Lineage: Bacteria; Pseudomonadati; Pseudomonadota; Alphaproteobacteria; Hyphomicrobiales; Rhizobiaceae. The record is from Rfam by way of RNAcentral. RNAcentral also lists the same sequence under 2 other names.